Molecule: ribosomal RNA, 255 nt
Filed under: uncultured bacterium
Lineage: Bacteria
Description: partial 16S ribosomal RNA
Rfam family: Bacterial small subunit ribosomal RNA
Source: RNAcentral
UACGUAGGGUGCAAGCGUUGUCCGGAAUUAUUGGGCGUAAAGAGCUCGUAGGUGGCCUGUCGCGUCGGCUGUGAAAACUCGGGGCUCAACUCCGAGCUUGCGAGUCGAUACGGGCAGGCUAGAGUUCGGGCAGGGGAGACUGGAAUUCCUGGUGUAGCGGUGAAAUGCGCAGAUAUCAGGAGGAACACCGGUGGCGAAGGCGGGUCUCUGGGCCGAUACUGACACUGAGGAGCGAAAGCGUGGGGAGCGAACAGG